ACAGUUUCUUCUUGUUGCAAACAAAGGGAGCAUCGGUUAACAUGAUAGAUACCUCUUCUUUUCAUAUUGUCUAUUGUAGGUAGUUUAUUGAGAAGGGCCUGCCAUGUACAUAAGGAGUGUCUUUGUGAUCCCGGUCGAUCCCAUGUCCAACUGCUUGGGACCCACUUGUUAUUUCUUUGUCUAAUUUGAUUUCAUACGGAUGUGGCACUAAAUUUGCCAUUGUCAUGAGGCCAAAUAAGUAUAUCUGAAGAGUUGUUCUUGAUUGGAAUAGCUAUGAUAGUCGGCCAAAGUGAUAACAUUUCGGGAGAAAUAGGAUUAGGGAGACACCAGGUACCGUUAGCAAUGAACUCGGAAACCUUCCAAACUUUGGGAGCCCCAAGAUCUUUU
This 387-nucleotide long non-coding RNA is filed under the name Musa acuminata (dwarf banana). RNAcentral's name for it is "long non-coding RNA (MACU_LNC008038)". The record is from RNAcentral. Lineage: Eukaryota; Viridiplantae; Streptophyta; Magnoliopsida; Zingiberales; Musaceae.